Molecule: transfer-messenger RNA, 415 nt
Filed under: Flavobacteriia bacterium
Lineage: Bacteria; Pseudomonadati; Bacteroidota; Flavobacteriia
Rfam family: transfer-messenger RNA
About the family: Bacterial tmRNA, also known as 10Sa RNA or SsrA, is named for its dual tRNA and mRNA-like properties. Its role is to liberate the mRNA from a stalled ribosome. To accomplish this part of the tmRNA is used as a reading frame that ends in a translation stop signal.
Source: RNAcentral
GGGGAUGUACUGGUUUCGAUCUGAUGCAGAUUGAACAUUACGCAUGCAGGGGAUGAUGGUUGGCCCCUUAAAACACCCAUCAAAACAUCAUGCCAAUAACGUGAUCACUGCGGUUGUCGGUUUCGCCAAGAACGCCUGGGCUUCGGUCAAGGCUGCCUUCGCGCUUCCUGCUCCUGCUCAGCUCGCCUUCGCCUAAUCAUGGUGAAGCCACCGCCUGAAGACUCCUGAUAUUCAGGGUCGGUGCUUUUUCAGGGUUUGCGCCCCAGGGUCCACAGUACCGGCGCUCAUACCACAGUGGAUAAAUUCCUCACUCCCUUGUUCACUCUGGGUGAGGUCUUACUUGAAUGAACUAAGCAUGUAGCGUUGUGUGAGACUCGUUUCAGAGACCCGGGUUCGACUCCCGGCAUCUCCACCA